UGAGGAAUAUUGGUCAAUGGGCGGGAGCCUGAACCAGCCAAGCCGCGUGAGGGAAGAAGGCCCUAUGGGUCGUAAACCUCUUUUGUCAGGGAACAAAAGCGAGUAUGUAUACUAGUCUGAGUGUACCUGAAGAAAAAGCAUCGGCUAACUCCGUGCCAGCAGCCGCGGUAAUACGGAGGAUGCGAGCGUUAUCCGGAUUUAUUGGGUUUAAAGGGUGCGUAGGCGGCGAUGCAAGUCAGCGGUAAAAUGCCCGGGGCUCAACCCCGGCGAGCCGUUGAAACUGACAGUGCUAGAGAAGGCGAGAGGUACGCGGAAUGCGCAUUGUAGCGGUGAAAUGCUUAGAUAUUGCGCAGAACUCCGAUUGCGAAGGCAGCGUACUGGCGCCUGACUGACGCUGAGGCACGAAAGCGUGGGGAUCGAACAGGAUUAGAUACC
Molecule: ribosomal RNA, 435 nt
Filed under: uncultured bacterium
Lineage: Bacteria
Description: bacterial SSU rRNA
Rfam family: Bacterial small subunit ribosomal RNA
Source: RNAcentral